GGACCGCGGGGGGAGGGGAACCGAGAGAGUGAGAGUGUGAGAGGCAAACCCGAGAGCCCGAGACCCGAGCCGGGAGCCGGGAUGCUAGGGUCCAGGGUAUUCACUCCGGGGGUCUGAAGAUAUUCGUGCACCGCUUGCGUCUAUCAGCCAAACUUCAGCUGACCUUUGGACUCGUUAAACAAGUAGCUUGCAGCCUGGUGUGCAAGGCGCCGGGACUUUUCCACCCGCUGCGGGUCCGGCUUUAAGUCUGGAGAGAAGGAGAAACUGCUCUCGGGGGCUCAGCUCCAGGACACAGCGGUUCCCAGGGCCAGAGACUGAUCUCUGUGGACGCGAGGUCAAGGCGGCGGUGGCUGGCGACUCCCACGCCAAGUUGGGAAGGGGCCGACCAAGCCAGCGAGGGACAUAAGUGAUUGUUCACGCCGGCCCGGCCCAGGAAGGAAGCCGGGAACCUCUCAGCGCUAUCGGAGUUUCACCUGCAUCUUCCCGAGGCGCUCAGGGGCGAGGAAGGAGGCAGGAGGUGCGCCCCGACUCCAGGCUGCCCUGGACCUGCAGAAGAUCCAGGGUAGCAGGGGCUUUUUAGGACCCAUGGCUCACAGUCCCAUAGUUCCUGGGGCAGAGGACACCUCCUUCCCCUCUCUAAGCCCCAGGUUCAUCACCUAAGAAAUACUGAAACCUAAAGCCCAGAGGAUGUGGCAUUGUGUACAUUGAGUGAGCCCACCUGUGAAACCGUGUAUUCCAGGAACAGUAUUCACACUUUUCUGAGAAGGCAGGCAGUCGGUUCCUAGUAGUAAAAUCUAGCCCUAGGGAGGUUCAGGAUUCUCAGAACCAGGCAAAUUCAGUGCUGGGCUUGGAGGGACUGGGAGCUUAGGGACAAACAUUCAGAAUGAGCAGGGCAUUUGCAAAGGAGCUUCUAAGCAAAGUCCCCCCACUUUCCCACCUUUUAAAGGCAGUUAGGAGGAAGAGGGGAAUUUCAGCAGGAGUAGGAGUGGGAAUGGGGAGGGUCAUCAGAUCUGUCUGCUUGGUUCAGGUACCAGGGCUGAAGCCCAGAUGUUGUUGAUCCAAGUCAGGCUGCUAAGGAGCCUGUCGUUGUUAUUUAGUCCCUAAGUCGUGUCCUACUCUUUUGCGAUCCCAUGGACAGUGGCCCUGCCAGGCUCCUCUGUCCAUGGGAUUUCCCAGGCAAGAAUACUGGAGUGGGUAGCCAUUUCCUUCUCCAGGGGAUUUUUUCCUGACUCAGGGAUGGAACCCAUGUCUGCUGCAUUGGCAGGAGGAUUCUUUACCACUGAGCAACCAGGGAAGCCCCACUAAGGACCUAGGUUGACUUUUUAAAUUACAGGGUUUGCUCUGUACUCCUGGACCACCCACGAGAAAGGGGUGGUUGUGUGCACGGAGCUCUGGGUGACCUUUACAGCAUCUCAGUGUCUUUCCCCGAGAAAGGGGUAAGAAGUUCAUAGAAACGAGGGCUCUUCAUUUCACCUUAUUGUCUUGGAGUUUGUUGUGACAUAUGGCACCUCCUUGCCCCUCACAGUUCAGCCCAAUGGGAGAACAUUUUUUGCCUCCCCAGCUUCCCUCAGCAGGGAUAAUGAAGUGUUCAGAGUAAAUGUCCCUGGAGAACAAUCGCUUUUUCUCUGUCCCUCACUUGCUAUCAUGAUAGAAGCAGUCAAGUGUAAUGAAGAUGAGUUUCUGUGUUUAGCUGGGAAAACCCAUUAAAAAACCAGCCAUCACUUCCCUUUUAACAACAAAGCUUUGAUUUGCAGUUCCGACUGCUGUGUGCCCAGUCUGACUCUCAAGCUUCCUUAUCUCUCAAAAUUCAGGUGUCAGCAAACCCAUUCUUCCCCCCUACCCCAGCCAAUGGAAACACACAGAACGUUGCCCAGAGCACAAGGAAAUUUCCUAUGCGUGUCCAGGUAAUCUGGCUAGUCAAAGUCAGCAGCUUCCUGUAACCCGCUUGCUCAGGUAUAGGUAUAUACUACCUGAUGCAAUAUGGGUGCUCACCAAGUAACUGCAGCUAUAGAUCUGUGGGCAUACCCAUUAUCUAUCUAUUCAUAUGGAAAUUUAGAAAGAAAAAGUGUAAGGAUCCCAGCAGGGGGUCCUUUGGGAUGUGGGUCACAAACAUUCACCAAAUGAAUUAUCUCAAAAAACACUUUGGUUAGGCUUCCUCUCAAAAGAAGAAGCCAGAACAUAACUGAAAUACUCUUAUUUAUGCUUCACAAAGGAUAAAGUAAUGAUGGACUGAGACAGUAGCCCCAUUUUAAAGAACUGGGAAAGGAUGUAGGACAUUUUAAAGAGGUGGCUUGGAGCUACUGUAAUAAGUUAAAGAAGGGUUGAGAUUGGGGCUCAGGAUUUUUGAGUAGGGCUUUAGGAUGAAAGAGAAAGGGCUCCAGUUUUACUGUGUUGGGAGAUGGGAAGUUGAAAGAGGGGAUUCUGCUGUGAUUCCACAGCAGAGAAUAGAGAACAGAUGUUGGAGUCAAACAGACCUAAAUGUGGGUUCUGCAAUCUACUUAACCAGCUGUGCAACUUGGAUAAGCUUGCGUUGCACAAACUUCUGAGCUUCAGCUUCCUUAGGCGGAAAAUGAUCCUAAUACUCUACUGGGUUUUUGUGACGGUGAAAAAAUAAUGAGUUGGUAACUGCAGGUUCAAGUGUCUGACAUGUUUAGAAAGAGACAGCCCAUCAUGAAAACAUGCAAAGAAGUAAGGCAGCUGAUCUUCUGGGGCUCUUUUAUUCCCAGCUUUUGUUUUUCUUUUUUGAGUUACUGAAUUUAAGGAGACCAGAUUAGGUUCUUCUACUCAAACAAUGAAUCCACUCGUUCACAUCCCAAGAUUUUUCUAUGAGGAAAUGUAGUCCCUGAUCCAAGAUAAUUUAAAAUACAGUUGGCUCAUUAGUCUAUGAAAGUUUUCUGGGCACCGUCUUGGAAGUUUCACAGAAGGGCCCUUGUGGUUCCCAUGGCCUCAAUCUCUCCCGUAACUUCACAGCCCAGGGGACCCUGCUUUCUAAGCUUGUGCACAGUCUUCUUCCUACUUUCCACGGUUCCCCUGAUUUGCUUACAGCUGGGAGAACCCAGUCCUCUCUGUUCUCUGAUGCUCCCCUCUCCACAUUGAUUCGGGAGAGUCUCUAGAAAGCCUCACAAUGAAAGCAUCUCUAGAGUUAAGCAUGAAUACCACCCUAUCCUAGUCUGAAAGUGGUUGGAAGCCUUAUUGUUAAGACAGCAGCGUUGCAGCCUAGAGAGCGUUCUAGACUGUGUCAUUAGAGCCUGAGUUCCCAUCUCUGGAUACAAAACUCUUUUCCUGGUAACUCUUCACCUCCCCCAAAAGGCUUGGCUGGGCACCUUCUCUGAUUCUGCUUUUGAAAGAUGGCCACUUGGUCUGAAUGGCCAUUUAAGUUCCCCGUUUUUUCCAUGAUUUGAAAUUCCAGAAUGACCACGUUGUCCAUUUCCAGACUUUUGGGCAGAUGAUACAUGAGCUCAGGCUGGAACUCUGAGUAGUACUAGAAAUAGGACACCAUGGAAAGUAAACUCCAAGAAGAUGGAGACCAUCUCAUGACUUACUCUUCAAUGUCUGGAGAGGUGUCUGAUCCAUAAAACACGCUCAAUAAAACCUUGUUGAAUAAAUGAGCAAGUAAUCAUUCCUCCACAAUA
Molecule: long non-coding RNA, 3632 nt
Organism: Bubalus bubalis (water buffalo)
Lineage: Eukaryota; Metazoa; Chordata; Mammalia; Artiodactyla; Bovidae
Exons: 2
Source: RefSeq, a predicted model, not a curated record